CUGCCGUGAUGGUACCAUUUUUCGUCAGCAGCAUCUCACCCGUGUGAAUGGUGACUCCGUUGGGCUGAGCAG
This 72-nucleotide small nucleolar RNA is filed under the name Lepidothrix coronata (blue-crowned manakin). RNAcentral describes it as "Small nucleolar RNA SNORD56 (ENSLCOG00000013241.1)". It matches the Rfam family "Small nucleolar RNA SNORD56". Rfam says of the family: U56 belongs to the C/D class of snoRNA which contain the C (UGAUGA) and D (CUGA) box motifs. Most of the members of the box C/D family function in directing site-specific 2'-O-methylation of substrate RNAs. Lineage: Eukaryota; Metazoa; Chordata; Aves; Passeriformes; Pipridae. The record is from Rfam by way of RNAcentral.